Molecule: non-coding RNA, 112 nt
Organism: Acanthosepion pharaonis
Lineage: Eukaryota; Metazoa; Mollusca; Cephalopoda; Sepiida; Sepiidae
Source: the annotation of a GenBank genome assembly
UUACGUCCAUUUCACGUUGAAACACCGAUUCCCAUUCGAUUACCGAAGUUAAGCAACGCCGAGACUGUUCGAUUCCUAUGGGUGACUGCUUGGGAAUAACAGGUGUUGCAAG